RNAcentral lists this ribosomal RNA (440 nucleotides) under uncultured bacterium. RNAcentral's name for it is "partial 16S ribosomal RNA". It matches the Rfam family "Bacterial small subunit ribosomal RNA", at positions 338 to 795 of the family's 1533-position model. The record is from RNAcentral.
CCUACGGGUGGCAGCAGUGGGGAAUAUUGCACAAUGGGGGAAACCCUGAUGCAGCGACGCCGCGUGAGUGAAGAAGUAAUUCGUUAUGUAAAGCUCUAUCAGCAGGGAAGAAAAUGACGGUACCUGAGUAAGAAGCCCCGGCUAACUACGUGCCAGCAGCCGCGGUAAGACGUAGGGGGCAAGAGUUAUCCGGAUUUACUGGGUGUAAAGGGAGCGUAGACGGCAGUGCAAGUCUGGAGUUAAAGGCGGGGGCUCAACCCCCGGACUGCUCUGGAAACUGUACGGCUGGAGGGCAGGAGAGGUAAGUGGAAUUCCUAGUGUAGCGGUGAAAUGCGUAGAUAUUAGGAGGAACACCAGUGGCGAAGGCGGCUUACUGGACUGUAACUGACGUUGAGGCUCGAAAGCGUGGGGAGCAAACAGGAUUAGAUACCCCUGUAGUC